RNAcentral lists this ribosomal RNA (687 nucleotides) under uncultured organism. RNAcentral describes it as "bacterial SSU rRNA". It matches the Rfam family "Bacterial small subunit ribosomal RNA", at positions 79 to 742 of the family's 1533-position model. The record is from RNAcentral.
UUCGGAGGUGAGUAUACCAGCGAAAUGGUGAGUAACAGCUAGUCAACGUGCCCUCGGGACCGGGAUAAUGGGUGGAGGCGGGUUGUAAUACCGGAUGAGACCACGUCGUCCACGGGCGAUGGGGUCAAAGUCGUGGGACCCUUCGGGGCCACGAGCCCGGGGAGCGGACUAGCCCCGAUUAGCUUGAUGGUGGGGUAACGGCCCACCAUGGCGAUGAUCGGUAGCCGGCCUGAGAGGGUGUUCGGCCACACUGGGACUGAGAGGGUGCCCAGACUCCUACGGGAGUGCUGCAGUCGCGAAUCAUUCACAAUGGACGCAAGUCUGAUGAUGCCACGCCGCGCGUAGGAUGAAGGCCCUAGGGUUGUAAACUACUGUCAAGCGAGGGGAACCUUCACGAUACAAGAUGUCGUGGACUGACUGCUCGCUAGAGGAAGUGUCCGGCUAAACACGUGCCAGCAGCCGCGGUAAUACGUGUGGACCAAGCGUUGUUCGGAAUUACUGGGCUUAAAGGGUGCGUAGGCGGCCUGGCAAGUCAGUGGUGAAAGUCCGCCGCCCAACGGUGGAAUUGCCAUUGAUACUGCCUGGCUCGAGUGUGCUAGGGGGAUGCGGAACGAGUGGUGUAGCGGUGAAAUGCGUAGAUAUCACUCGGAAGGCCGGAGGCGAAGGCGGCAUCCAGGGGCACAACUG